GAGAGUUUGUGCGGGUUGUUGUUCCUGAUGGAAAAGCUGUAGAUGCAAUGGUUCCAUAAACUGUGAAAAGGACUUCCACUCCCCUCAAUGGGACGGAACAUGAGAUACGUGCACUUCCAAUUUUGCAGUUUACUGUCUUGUAAUUGUCCUAUCUUUACCUGGUUGUAACAAAAUGCAUUCACGCUAAGUUUUUUUUUGUACUUUUCAUGCUAACUUAAAAAAAACAGUAGUUAACCAAAAUUGAUUGAACAUGAGGAAUGAAGUGAGAUUGAGAAAUCUAAAGGCUAAGAACUGGUAGGGAGUGAUUAGUUAGUAGUACCUGCACCCAUUGGCUUCGUAAAUUAAUUCAAUGCCAAGAAGGCAUGGGCAAUGCUAUUUUGGUUUCUUUGUAGCUUCGUCACAUUACAAUAUUAUUUCUGUAAUUGUAUCACUGUUUUUGGAAUUUUAUGUAUUGUGGUAUCGUCACAUCCAUAUAAUGUACCCAGGCAACGUAGUCACAUCCAUAUAAUGUACCCAGGCAACGUAGUUUCUUGACGAGUAAACUAUAAGUUACUGGAAUUUUGUGUUUGAUGUAUGUCCAGUGUCAACAUAGGAUUCUUAUGUCACAAAAAUGUGAUUCUGAAAUAAUUACCAGAUUUUGAUCAUAAACUUUGUUACUACACCACUUAUCAUAUAUACCAUGACUACUAUGGUCAUUUCCAAUCAGUUUUUGAUCUUCUCCAAUUUGCCAAAAGGUGAAAUUCUAAUUUGUUGUUAACAAUGGUCUGAUGUGUUUCAUCUUGCUACUUUUGUUUAGAUUAUGGCUUUGUUUUAAGCUACGCUGUCGUGGUUCUAGUAAAAUAUUAUCAGCUCCUUUUCUUCUGUUGAUUGGUGUCAUUAUCUCAAUGCAGGUAAACAUAGAUGAGGGGGAAAGCUUCAUCCUCUGUCUUCUCCCCCUCACUAUUUGCCUGCUGAGAACGCUGGAGGGCAUUCUUUACCAAAUAAGCUGCGUAGUCUAUCAUCUGAAGGGUUUGUUCAACUGUUAUCGGCUAUUUUUAGGAUAGUUCUGGUACAUCUGCUGCAAGCAGCUGAAGUUAAAAAAAUAGUUCAGUGGAUCACGAGAAACCUUGAUGGGAACAUGAGUUCUGAUGACACAAAUCCUGUCAUACAACAUGGUGGAUCAGUUGACUUUUCCCAAGGGAAUGACAACGGUGUUACUUCACGGGUCUCCAAUACUGUUACAUGCAGUACUACUAAGCUUCCAUUGUUUGAAGGAAAAGCAACUGAUAUGUCCAGUACAAAUUCAAUAAAAAAAAUGCUCGAGCUGAUAUGUUGAGAGAAAGCACAGAAGCAGUUUUUGCUGCAUGUGAUGCUGCACAUGGACGAUGGGCUAAGCUGAUAGGUGUUCGUGCUGAUCUACAUCCCAAGUUGAGGAUUCUUGAGUUCCUGAUCAUCCAUAAUACACCCUCUGUUUCUAAAUAUAAGAUGUCCCGCUGGUUCCAUUUAAUCUGUCAAAACGCCUUAUAUUUAGGAACGGAAGUAGUAUAAAAGAAGAAUCUAUAGCUGGUACAGAAAAGGUUAUUAAUUUUCUGUUUAAAUAAUAUGCACAGACACAUAUUAGUUUCAUAAAAGCAAGUUAUGAUAUUAUCUUAACCUCUUGUCCUCAUAGAUUGGAGGCAGGUUAGGUUACAACAUUCGUGGACUAUCAGCAUAGUGUUCAGGUGGUUAUAUAUUGUUUUAUUGAAGUUUAUGAAAGCUUAAUCUACAGUCUUACAAUCGGAUCAUGGAACAAAGUUAGAAGCUUGUUUUAAAUUUUGUUAUUACAAGCAGCAGCUUAUAGAAUAAGUGCAGCAUCAUUUUGCCAGAAACAUGAAUGAGUAAUGAUGCUAUUUCUGGAGUAUAAAGCCCUCAGGCUUCUCCCUCAAUUAUAUAGCCUUAUGGAUGUACACCAACUUCAUUACAAUGCAGUUACUUUCUUCUGUUUUGCAAGCAAUAUUACCCAGACAGUAGUGGUAUCCACCAUCAAUCAAAGAACUUGAGGAUGAAAUGAUAGUGGAAUUAAGGAUAUAAAGGAUUAGGAAAUCUCUGAUCUUCAUAAUUACUUGAAUUAUCUUCAAAAAGUUUUAUGUUAGGGUUUUUUAAAUCGAAUUCUGAUAUUGAUUUUAGAUUGAUAUCAAUCUUAUUUUGUAGCUGAAUCCCGAAUUAUACAGUUUUUGUGCUCUAACAUUUAAUAUUCCUUUGAAGAUGACAAAAACUAUGGCAGUUCUUGACCAAGAGACGUGGGUUGCUGUUGACGUUCCUGAAGAAUUCCAAGUGAUUGUUUUGUCACUGCCAUCAACUGAGGUUCUUGUUAAUGAUGUUGAGAUGCCUAGCACUGGUAACAACUCAAAGCUCAGUGAGGAUGGAGUUUGUACAAGUCAAGAGUCGCAUAUUCAACUGAAAAUAAUGUUGAAAAUCACAGUGGAACAUCUAUGAGGUAUUUGUACCGUGUGCCUCUGAUUGAAGACAUGGUCAGAUCUAUGGUCACGCCUUGAACUCAUCAGUGAAGCACCCUUGCUCAUGCCUUGAACUCAUCAGUGAAGCACCCUUGUUAAAAAUACUUUCCAUGGAGGUAACAGGAAAAUCAGGAUCAUACUUUAUGGAUGUGGAUUUUUGGGGCAAUGAUGAUGUUUUUCUACUGGGCUUAUUCUGCGAGGAAUGAUGACAUAUUUGUUUUGUCUAGCAUAAAACCUGAAGCUGCAGAGGACUUAAACUGCCAUGGUGUGACAUAUUAUUGUUUGGCAAUAGUCACUGAGGUUUCUAUGGUUGAUGAAUACCAGAACAGCUUCAGAGUCAAAGUUGCAAAGAAUAUUGGUCUGGACGAAGACUUAAACAAACUCGAACAUGCAAUAUUUCUCAAUAAUAUCACAAUAAACGUACGGAUAUGGAAAGCACUUACCUGCAAAACGCACAUGAAUGACAAUUUCACACUAAUCAAGUCCCUCUUAGCCCCCACAAAUCUGGGUGAGGAUGUUUGUGGUAUCUGUGUUAAACAGGAUGGAGUCUGUUUGGCUUCUUUCGCAGAGACAUCCGGAAAUUAUUGGGCGAGGAUGCUACUGAAUCUGUGAUCUCAGCUGUAAGAUGUGGGCGUGUGAAGUGUAUAUGGGGUCCACCAGGUAUGCAAAGAAGCUGGAUUCGUGACAAGUUUAUUUGAGAGAUUGGUUAUGCUCAAAUUUGAUAAACAUUUGUUGAAUAUACAGUAUCACAUGAAUCCUUCUGUUAGCUUAUUUCCAAGUGCUAUGAGAGGAAGAUUUUAGAUGGUUCCAUUGUCAUGUCUCCUAGUUGUGAUAAGGAUUACACAUGCGUCCCUUUUGUCAGCUACACGUUUCUAAAUGUCACUGAUGGAAGAGAAGACGAAGAGGGCGCAUGAAGCAGUCGUAGAAACAUGGUUAAAGUUGCUGUUGUUUGCAACUAAUCCAUUCCAUCUUUAAAUGUUGGAUAAGGACAGACCAAGGGCUCAGCAUAGUCCACGGUCUCUCCAUAUAUUGCUCAAGUUGAUGCAAUUAAAAGUCGACCUGCCAAAAAAUAUGACACAUAUGAUGGCUUUCAUGUGCGGGUGAAGUCCAUUGAUGAUUUCCAAGGAGAAGAUGAUACAUCAAUACAAUCAACUGUUAAGAGAGGAGUUGUAGGAUUUCUUGCUGAUAACCAAAGAACAAAUGUUGCUCUUACUAGAGCAAGGCGUGCAUCAAUUUAUUCGGGACCCCUUGUUUUAUUGCUGCUCAAAGUAUGUCAGACCGAUUCUACAAAUUAUCAGGUGGAUGCUUUUUCAUGCACGUAAUGUCUUUGGAUUGUUGGGAAUGCUCAUACACUGUAUACAAGUGGGACUUAAAGGACAGACCUUGUUGCUGCAGAGAGAUGUAAAUGUGUUUUCAGUGCCACUAAUGAUGCAACCAUCUGUAAGUUGGUUCUGCAAGUAAAGCAAGAGCUUGAUGAACUUGACGAUCUUCUUAAUGCUGAUUCAGUGGGUUUCAGCCAUACCAGAUGGAAGUUAUUCAGUGAGGGACAAUUCGAUAUGGCUACCAUGUGCUUCGAGAAGGCUGGUGAUGCACACAGAGAAGUGCACAAGAGCUGCCGGACUUCUAGCCACGGCUGACCGUGUCAUCUCAACAAAUUUGGAGCUGGGCAAGGCUUCAUUGCAAACAACAUCAGAGAUUGACAGAGUCCAUGAAAGCUGCUAAUUGCUAUAUCAAAUUAGGUGACUACAAAAGAGCAGGUAUGGUCUAUAUGCAAAAAUGUGGUACUUCCAGUUCUGGACUUGAGGAUGCUGAUGAUUAUUUUGCUAUCGCUGAAUGCUGGUCGGAGGCAGUGGAGUGUUCUUCAAAGCUAAAUGUUACACCAAGUGUUUUCCAUGUGCUCGAAAGGAAAACAAUUAUGCAAUCUGGAGGAGGAACAUUUGCUUCAGAAUUCAAAAUCCUUGAGGUUUCUGCAAUUAGAACAAAGUAUCUGGAUAAUUGUGCUCAAGAUUAUUUUGAGCGUGUCGUCAUAAAGCAUAGGAUGGCUUUUAUUAAAGCUUUCAGCUCUAUGGAUCAUGUACGGACAUUCCUAAAUUCUACGAAUCUUGUUGAUGACUGUCGAGUUUAGAGAUGGAAAUGUAUAAUUUCCUAGAAGCUGCAGGAAUAGCAAAGCAUAAAGGAGAUGUCUUGCUGGAGGUAGACAUGCUCGAGAAGGCAGAUUUGUUUAAGGAUGCAACAGGGCGUCUCCAUAUCAUUGUGGAUUCUCUGUGGUCUUCAAAUGGUAGAGGUUGGCCUCCCAAAAGAUAUGCAGAAAAGUGACAGUUGCUUGCAAAAGCCAAAGAGAUGGCGAAAAAGGUCUUUCUACUGUUUUGUUUUGCGUGGAAGCUGAUGCACUGUCAGAUGUGAAUAAGUCUCUACCCAGUUUAAAUCGCACAUUGGUUGAGGGCAGAAAUGUCCAAACUAUUGGUUGAACUUGUUGCUUCCGGUUUGAUUCUUGAUGUUCAUCUUCAUUCUCGAGCCUCUGGAUACAAUAUAUAGAAUUAGGGCCAGGAUCUGAAUAUGAAAACAGUAGUAAAGAUAUGCUGGCCUCUAACCAGAUGUCACCCCAAACUCUGUUUUAUGUUUGGAAUCACUGGAAGUUGAUCAUAAUCAAAGUACUGUCUCAUCUUCGCCACACCGAUGGUCCAGAAUUAAAUGAUUAUGCAGUUAUGUAUGAAGAUCUUUGCGCCAAGUACUUUGGAUUGAGAAAAGAUGGUGAAGUUGACAGAUAUGUGGUGCUUAACAUCAAUGCAAGUUGGCUUUCUAUUGCUGGCAGAAAUUCUUUGCAGCAAGACGGCAACAGAUGUUUAUUGGGUGUCCCUCAGUGUCAUUCAUGUGCUCAGUGUUUCUGGAUGAAUGAGCUGUCUUCUGUUGGUUUCAGUGUACUUAAGAAGUUGGAGUCCGCUGUCGAAAUUUCUCUGAAGCCUGCAUCUUCAUAUACACUGGUGAGAACUAUCCUUAUCAUAAAUGAGAUAGCAAAGUUAUUCGAAGAACCACAGUUCAGUAUUCCAAAAAGUUCUAAGAAGUUCAGAAGCUUUUUUAUUCUCUGUGAGUGUCGCUUCUUCGAGUUAGUUUUCCUUGUGUGGAGAGAUGGGACAAUGGGGAGCCUCUUGUGUCUACUUGACUCACCAGCUGCAUAUGAAUUGAUUGCUGAUUCUCUUAGUGCAAAUCUUUGCCCGGUAAAUAAAAACUUAACUCAUGGGCAUCUUGGGAGAACAACCAUGCUUGUGCUUCAUGCAGCACACUUGGGCGAAGCGCGACUUUCAUGACUACUACAGUACCUGGACAAUAGUUCUGAGUAGGCAGAUUUUUUCUGAUAUUUGCAGUGAUUUCAAGAUAGCUGGCUUCGCCACUGGGUGCGUGUGUCCGUGCUGCAGCGUGUGUGUGUGUGUGUGUGUGUUGUGUGUGCGCGUGUGUUGCUGAUGCGUGUUAGAGUUAUAAUAUAAGUCAUGUAUACCCCUUUGUAUUUAUCCCGUUGUAUAAGGGGUUUCCUGCAUAUGUA
RNAcentral lists this ribosomal RNA (6012 nucleotides) under Triticum aestivum (bread wheat). RNAcentral describes it as "partial small subunit ribosomal RNA". The record is from RNAcentral. Lineage: Eukaryota; Viridiplantae; Streptophyta; Magnoliopsida; Poales; Poaceae.